Molecule: long non-coding RNA, 963 nt
Organism: Pseudopipra pipra
Lineage: Eukaryota; Metazoa; Chordata; Aves; Passeriformes; Pipridae
Exons: 2
Source: RefSeq, a predicted model, not a curated record
UACCUCCCAAGGCCACAACAAACCAUUCCAUGUUUCAGGAAGAGAUAUUCUGCAGCUGCUUCAGCAGCUGAGUGUGGAAUGGAGAUGGUUUGCUGUGGGACAGACCCGGUUUAGAUGAAGUUUUAGAGUCACUGUGUUCUUCACUAAGAAAACAAAUCUCUCUCCUCCUGUUUUCCUGUUUCUGAGCCCUGCUGCCACCACUGGGCUGGUGUGGCCCUGCCAGGCAUUGCAUUCCCCAGCCCUACAUCCCUCAUGGAAACCUGCAGCUCCCUGGCCUUGGGUCCCACCUCGUCCCUCUUGCACCAAGACAAUUCUUACUGUGGACAAAAAGCUUUUCCAGCCGUCCCUGAAGGCCCCAGAACUCAACUGCUGCUGCUGCCCAAACCCAGAAUCCAUCUCUGACAGGACUUCUUCCAUCCUGCAUAUGGCAAAUCCAUUGCCACAGCUCCUCCUUUUCUGUUUCCUAAAGCUGGAUAUGCUUUUAAUGAUUGAGAGGUUCUGGCACAACUGAGCAAGCAUGGAAAGACACACAUAAAGAGAAACACUGCGGAAAGUCCUAGUACCAUAACUACAAUAAUUUUCUUAAUAGUGGAAGAGAGGCCUUUGAAGGGCAGCCAGUUGAAAAAAUCAUCAAAGGUCAGAGGAUCAACUUGCUUGAUUUCAUGAACUAAGGACUUAAGCUGAUUAAUCUGGGAGUGGAUAGAUUGGGAGUGAUCAGAGAAGUUGAGGCAGCAGAGGCCUUCAAACUCCUGACACCCAUGGCCAUUUACUAGAAGGAGAAAAUCUAUUGCAGCACGAUUUUGUAACAAGGCCUUCUUAUUGGUUUGGGUAUCUUGUAAUAGAUCAUCAAGGGCAGCACUGGUGGCAUCAGCUUCUUUUGCAAGCCAACAUCCCAUUCUGGUAAGGAGCAUUAAGGCUUUUGUGGAGCUGACAACUGGAAGCAGACCACUUAGAAUGUUUGCG